GGGGACCAUCCUCCAAGGCUAAAUACUCCUGACUGACCGAUAGUGAACCAGUACCGUGAGGGAAAGGCGAAAAGAACCCCGGCGAGGGGAGUGAAAAAGAACCUGAAACCGUGUACGUACAAGCAGUGGGAGCACAGGUUUACCUGUGUGACUGCGUACCUUUUGUAUAAUGGGUCAGCGACUUAUAUUCUGUAGCAAGGUUAACCGAAUAGGGGAGCCGGAGGGAAACCGAGUCUUAACCGGGCGUUAAGUUGCAGGGUAUAGACCCGAAACCCGGUGAUCUAGCCAUGGGCAGGUUGAAGGUUGGGUAACACUAACUGGAGGACCGAACCGACUAAUGUUGAAAAAUUAGCGGAUGACCUGUGGCUGGGGGUGAAAGGCCAAUCAAACCGGGAGAUAGCUGGUUCUCCCCGAAAGCUAUUUAGGUAGCGCCUCGUGAAUUCAUCUCCGGGGGUAGAGCACUGUUUCGGCUAGGGGGCCAUCCCGGCUUACCAACCCGAUGCAAACUGCGAAUACCGGAGAAUGUUAUCACGGGAGACACACGGCGGGUGCUAACGUCCGUCGUGAAGAGGGAAACAACCCAGACCGCCAGCUAAGGUCCCAAAGUCAUGGUUAAGUGGGAAACGAUGUGGGAAGGCCCAGACAGCCAGGAUGUUGGCUUAGAAGCAGCCAUCAUUUAAAGAAAGCGUAAUAGCUCACUGGUCGAGUCGGCCUGCGCGGAAGAUGUAACGGGGCUAAACC
This 741-nucleotide ribosomal RNA is filed under the name Salmonella enterica subsp. enterica. Its description in RNAcentral is "bacterial LSU rRNA". It matches the Rfam family "Bacterial large subunit ribosomal RNA", at positions 448 to 1188 of the family's 2925-position model. Lineage: Bacteria; Pseudomonadati; Pseudomonadota; Gammaproteobacteria; Enterobacterales; Enterobacteriaceae. The record is from RNAcentral.